Molecule: ribosomal RNA, 329 nt
Filed under: Staphylococcus aureus
Lineage: Bacteria; Bacillati; Bacillota; Bacilli; Caryophanales; Staphylococcaceae
Description: partial 23S ribosomal RNA
Rfam family: Bacterial large subunit ribosomal RNA
Source: RNAcentral
GUGAAAUUCCGUCGGAAUCUGGGAGGACCAUCUCCUAAGGCUAAAUACUCUCUAGUGACCGAUAGUGAACCAGUACCGUGAGGGAAAGGUGAAAAGCACCCCGGAAGGGGAGUGAAAUAGAACCUGAAACCGUGUGCUUACAAGUAGUCAGAGCCCGUUAAUGGGUGAUGGCGUGCCUUUUGUAGAAUGAACCGGCGAGUUACGAUUUGAUGCAAGGUUAAGCAGUAAAUGUGGAGCCGUAGCGAAAGCGAGUCUGAAUAGGGCGUUUAGUAUUUGGUCGUAGACCCGAAACCAGGUGAUCUACCCUUGGUCAGGUUGAAGUUCAGGUA